This 1052-nucleotide ribosomal RNA is filed under the name uncultured bacterium. RNAcentral describes it as "bacterial SSU rRNA". It matches the Rfam family "Bacterial small subunit ribosomal RNA", at positions 8 to 1053 of the family's 1533-position model. The record is from RNAcentral.
AGAGUUUGAUCAUGGCUCAGGAUGAACGCUAGCGGCAGGCCUAACACAUGCAAGUCGAGGGGUAACAUAGGAAAGCUUGCUUUUCUGAUGACGACCGGCGCACGGGUGCGUAACGCGUAUACAACCUGCCUUUUAGCGGGGAAUAGCCCAGGGAAACUUGGAUUAAUGCCCCAUAGUAUGGAGAUCUCUCCUGAGAUUUUCAUUAAACAUUUAUGGCUAUUAGAUGGGUAUGCGUCCUAUUAGUUAGUUGGUAAGGUAACGGCUUACCAAGGCAGCGAUAGGUAGGGGUCCUGAGAGGGAGAUCCCCCACACUGGUACUGAGACACGGACCAGACUCCUACGGGAGGCAGCAGUGAGGAAUAUUGGACAAUGGGCGAGAGCCUGAUCCAGCCAUGCCGCGUGCAGGAAGACUGCCCUAUGGGUUGUAAACUGCUUUUACAGAGGAAGAACCACUCCCACGUGUGGGAGUUUGACGGUACUCUGCGAAUAAGGAUCGGCUAACUCCGUGCCAGCAGCCGCGGUAAUACGGAGGAUCCAAGCGUUAUCCGGAAUCAUUGGGUUUAAAGGGUCCGUAGGCGGGCAGUUAAGUCAGUGGUGAAAGUCUUCCGCUCAACGGGAGAACUGCCAUUGAUACUGAUUGUCUUGAGUUAUUAUGAAGUGGUUAGAAUGAGUAGUGUAGCGGUGAAAUGCAUAGAUAUUACUCAGAAUACCGAUUGCGAAGGCAGAUCACUAAUAAUAUACUGACGCUGAUGGACGAAAGCGUAGGUAGCGAACAGGAUUAGAUACCCUGGUAGUCUACGCCGUAAACGAUGGUUACUAGCUGUUCGGCCCGAUUAAGGGCUGAGUGGUUAAGCGAAAGUGAUAAGUAACCCACCUGGGGAGUACGUUCGCAAGAAUGAAACUCAAAGGAAUUGACGGGGGCCCGCACAAGCGGUGGAGCAUGUGGUUUAAUUCGAUGAUACGCGAGGAACCUUACCAGGGCUUAAAUGUAGUCUGACAGGGCUGGAAACAGCUUUUUCUUCGGACAGAUUACAAGGUGCUGCAUGGGUGGC